CCUACGGGAGGCUGCAGUGGGGGAUAUUGCACAAUGGGGGAAACCCUGAUGCAGCGACGCCGCGUGGGUGAAGAAGCGCCUCGGCGCGUAAAGCCCUGUCAGCAGGGAAGAAAAUGACGGUACCUGAAGAAGAAGCCCCGGCUAACUACGUGCCAGCAGCCGCGGUAAUACGUAGGGGGCAAGCGUUAUCCGGAUUUACUGGGUGUAAAGGGGGCGCAGACGGCGAUGCAAGCCAGGCGUGAAAGCCCGGGGCCCAACCCCGGGACUGCUCUUGGAACUGCGUGGCUAGAGUGCAGGAGGGGCAGGCGGAAUUCCUGGUGUAGCGGUGAAAUGCGUAGAUAUCAGGAGGAACACCGAUCGCGAAGGCAUCUCACGAAUCCGCGAUUGACGCUGAUGCACGAAAGCGUGGGGAGCAAACAGGAUUAGAUACCCCAGUAGUC
This 440-nucleotide ribosomal RNA is filed under the name uncultured bacterium. Its description in RNAcentral is "partial 16S ribosomal RNA". It matches the Rfam family "Bacterial small subunit ribosomal RNA", at positions 338 to 795 of the family's 1533-position model. The record is from RNAcentral.